This 630-nucleotide long non-coding RNA is filed under the name Pan troglodytes (chimpanzee). Its description in RNAcentral is "lincRNA". The record is from RNAcentral. Lineage: Eukaryota; Metazoa; Chordata; Mammalia; Primates; Hominidae.
UUUAGAGGCAGAAUCAGCUUUACUAAUUUUGUAACAGAAUAAGCACUCUGUAAUGACACUGUACUUCUAAACUGAAGACUCCUUACGAAAAGUUAAAAAUGUGUUCUUAAAACAAAUGUAUUGAAGCUGAGCAUAUUUACAUUACACAAUUGUGCAUAUCUGUAUAUUAAAAUUAUACAGUCAUUGUUCACUGUGUAAAAUCUGCAAGAUACAGGUAAACAAGCAAAGAAAAAUUAUCCCACCAGAGAUAAAUGCUGUUAAUCUUUUAGUAAAUUACCUUUAGAGCUGUUUUGCGGGAUAGAUACAUAACACAAACUGGUGGCAUUAAAUCUGCAUGCUUUUUGAAAAGUGAUUCUGGAGUGAAUAAAAAUUGCAACUUUAGAAGAUAUACACUGCCGGCCGGGCAUGUUGACAGAUAAAAGUAAUGACAGUAUAUAAGCGUCAGGUGAAUGUUCAAGGAAUAGGAAACAACAUUGUCAGGACGUCUGUUUGGAAAAAAACCCUUAAAAGUAAAAUUACAUACAUCAGAUUUUAUCUAGAUAUUAAACUGAUGCUGCUGAGGCAGGAGGAUCACUUGAAGACAGGUGUUUGAGACCAGCAUGGGCAACAAAAUGAGAUCCCACUUCUAAU